CUUUAGAGAUAGAGGAGUGCUCGAAAGAGAGCCAUAACACAGGUGCUGCAUGGCUGUCGUCAGCUCGUGUCGUGAGAUGUUGGGUUAAGUCCCGCAACGAGCGCAACCCUUGCCAUUAGUUGCUACGAAAGGGCACUCUAAUGGGACUGCCGGUGACAAACCGGAGGAAGGUGGGGAUGACGUCAAGUCCUCAUGGCCCUUAUAGGUGGGGCUACACACGUCAUACAAUGGCUGGUACAGAGGGUUGCCAACCCGCGAGGGGGAGCCAAUCCCAUAAAGCCAGUCGUAGUCCGGAUCGCAGUCUGCAACUCGACUGCGUGAAGUCGGAAUCGCUAGUAAUCGCGGAUCAGAAUGUCGCGGUGAAUACGUUCCCGGGUCUUGUACACACCGCCCGUCACACCAUGGAAGCGGGUUCUGCCAGAAGUAGUUAGCCUAACCGCAAGGAGGGCGAUUACCACGGCAGGGUUCGUGACUGGGGUGAAGUCGUAACAAGGUAAAUCUCUGGAA
Molecule: ribosomal RNA, 507 nt
Filed under: uncultured bacterium
Lineage: Bacteria
Description: bacterial SSU rRNA
Rfam family: Bacterial small subunit ribosomal RNA
Source: RNAcentral